RNAcentral lists this non-coding RNA (28 nucleotides) under Rattus norvegicus (Norway rat). The record is from RNAcentral. Lineage: Eukaryota; Metazoa; Chordata; Mammalia; Rodentia; Muridae.
UAACAAUAAUGUCGGCCUCUUUUCUAGA